RNAcentral lists this unclassified non-coding RNA (320 nucleotides) under uncultured fungus. RNAcentral's name for it is "partial contains 5.8S ribosomal RNA and internal transcribed spacer 2". The stretch from base 1 to 133 matches the Rfam family "5.8S ribosomal RNA", at positions 22 to 154 of the family's 154-position model. Lineage: Eukaryota; Fungi. The record is from RNAcentral.
UGGUUCUGGCAUNGAUGAAGAACGCAGCGAAAUGCGAUAAGUAAUGUGAAUUGCAGAAUUCAGUGAAUCAUCGAAUCUUUGAACGCACAUUGCGCCCUCCGGUAUUCCGGGGGGCAUGCCUGUUCGAGCGUCAUUACACCACUCAAGCCUCGCUUGGUAUUGGGCGAGGGGGCCGUCCUGCCCCCCGCCCCGAUGUCCCCGGCUGGGCCUCCCGACUCUCAGCGUUGUGGCACACGAUGUUUCGCUGGCGAGGAGGGCGGCGCGCGCCGUUAAACACCACGUCAAAGGUUGACCUCGGAUCAGGUAGGGAUACCCGCUGA